CCCUAGUAACUGCGAGUGAAGCGGGAAAAGCUCAAAUUUAAAAUCUGGUGGUCUUUGGCCAUCCGAGUUGUAAUCUAGAGAAGUGUUAUCCGCGCUGGACCGUGUACAAGUCUCCUGGAAUGGAGCGUCAUAGAGGGUGAGAAUCCCGUCUUUGACACGGACUGCCAGGGCUUUGUGAUGCGCUCUCAAAGAGUCGAGUUGUUUGGGAAUGCAGCUCAAAAUGGGUGGUAAAUUCCAUCUAAAGCUAAAUAUUGGCGAGAGACCGAUAGCGAACAAGUACCGUGAGGGAAAGAUGAAAAGAACUUUGGAAAGAGAGUUAAACAGUACGUGAAAUUGCUGAAAGGGAAACGCUUGAAGUCAGUCGCGUUGGCCGGGAAUCAACCUUGCUUUUGCUGGGCGUACUUUCCGGUUGACGGGUCAGCAUCAAUUUUGACCGUUGGAUAAAGUUCAAGGGAAUGUGGCAUCUUCGGAUGUGUUAUAGCCUUUGUUCGCAUACAACGGUUGGGAUUGAGGAACUCAGCACGCCGCAAGGCCGGGUAUUUAUACUACGUUCGUGCUUAGGAUGCUGGCAUAAUGGCUUUAAUCGACCCGUCUUGAAACACGGACCAAGGAGUCUAACAUGCCUGCGAGUGUUUGGGUGGAAAACCCGAGCGCGUAAUGAAAGUGAAAGUUGAGAUCCCUGUCGUGGGGAGCAUCGACGCCCGGACCAGACCUUUUGUGACGGAUCCGCGGUAGAGCAUGUAUGUUGGGACCCGAAAGAUGGUGAACUAUGCCUGAAUAGGGUGAAGCCAGAGGAAACUCUGGUGGAGGCUCGUAGCGAUUCUGACGUGCAAAUCGAUCGUCAAAUUUGGGUAUAGGGGCGAAAGACUAAUCGAACCAUCUAGUAGCUGG
RNAcentral lists this ribosomal RNA (891 nucleotides) under Galerina marginata. Its description in RNAcentral is "partial large subunit ribosomal RNA". It matches the Rfam family "Eukaryotic large subunit ribosomal RNA", at positions 78 to 954 of the family's 3401-position model. Lineage: Eukaryota; Fungi; Basidiomycota; Agaricomycetes; Agaricales; Galerinaceae. The record is from RNAcentral.